UGGGGAAUUUUCCGCAAUGGGCGCAAGCCUGACGGAGCAAUACCGCGUGAGGGAGGAAGGCUUUUGGGUUGUAAACCUCUUUUCUCAAGGAAGAAGUCCUGACGGUACUUGAGGAAUCAGCAUCGGCUAACUCCGUGCCAGCAGCCGCGGUAAUACGGAGGAUGCAAGCGUUAUUCGGAAUUAUUGGGCGUAAAGCGCGCGUAGGCGGCCUUGUAAGUCGGAUGUGAAAGCCCCGGGCUUAACCUGGGAAUUGCAUUCGAUACUGCAGAACUAGAGUAUGGUAGAGGGAAGUGGAAUUUCCGGUGUAGCGGUGAAAUGCGUAGAUAUCGGAAGGAACACCAGUGGCGAAGGCGACUUCCUGGGCCAAUACUGACGCUGAGGUGCGAAAGCGUGGGGAGCAAACAGGAUUAGAUACCCCUGUAGUCC
Molecule: ribosomal RNA, 426 nt
Filed under: uncultured prokaryote
Description: bacterial SSU rRNA
Rfam family: Bacterial small subunit ribosomal RNA
Source: RNAcentral